UACGGAGGGAGCUAGCGUUGUUCGGAAUCACUGGGCGUAAAGCGCACGUAGGUGGAUUAGUAAGUCAGGGGUGAAAGCCCAGAGCUCAACUCUGGAAUUGCCCUUGAUACUGCUAGUCUAGAGUUUGGGAGAGGUAAGCGGAAUUCCGAGUGUAGAGGUGAAAUUCGUAGAUAUUCGGAGGAACACCAGAGGCGAAGGCGGCUUACUGGCCCAAUACUGACACUGAGGUGCGAAAGCGUGGGGAGCAAACAGG
This 253-nucleotide unclassified non-coding RNA is filed under the name uncultured Alphaproteobacteria bacterium. RNAcentral's name for it is "contains 16S-23S intergenic spacer region". It matches the Rfam family "Bacterial small subunit ribosomal RNA", at positions 524 to 776 of the family's 1533-position model. The record is from RNAcentral. Lineage: Bacteria; Pseudomonadati; Pseudomonadota; Alphaproteobacteria.